AAGGGUACCACUACAAUGGGAAUC
Molecule: non-coding RNA, 24 nt
Filed under: Arabidopsis thaliana (thale cress)
Lineage: Eukaryota; Viridiplantae; Streptophyta; Magnoliopsida; Brassicales; Brassicaceae
Source: RNAcentral